Molecule: ribosomal RNA, 316 nt
Filed under: uncultured bacterium
Lineage: Bacteria
Description: bacterial SSU rRNA
Rfam family: Bacterial small subunit ribosomal RNA
Source: RNAcentral
GAUAAACGCUGGCGGCGCACAUAAGACAUGCAAGUCGAACGGACUUAACUCAUUCUUUUAGAUUGAGGGCGGUUAGUGGCGGACUGGUGAGUAACGCGUGAGUAACCUGCCUAUUAGAGGGGAAUAACAGUGAGAAAUCAUUGCUAAUACCGCAUAAGCUGAAAGAAUCGCAUGAUUCAGUCAGAAAAGGAGCAAUCCGCUAAUAGAUGGACUCGCGUCUGAUUAGCUAGUUGGUGGGGUAAAGGCCUACCAAGGCAACGAUCAGUAGCCGAACUGAGAGGUUGAACGGCCACAUUGGGACUGAGAUACGGCCCAG